CGCGGCCUAUCAGCUUGUUGGUGGGGUAGUGGCUUACCAAGGCUUUGACGGGUAGCCGGCCUGAGAGGGUGACCGGCCACAUUGGGACUGAGAUACGGCCCAGACUCCUACGGGAGGCAGCAGUGGGGAAUAUUGCACAAUGGGCGGAAGCCUGAUGCAGCAACGCCGCGUGCGGGAUGACGGCCUUCGGGUUGUAAACCGCUUUCGCCUGUGACGAAGCGUGAGUGGCGGUAAUGGGUAAAGAAGCACCGGCUAACUACGUGUCAGCAGCCGCGGUGAUACGUAGGGUGCGAGCGUUGUCCGGAUUUAUUGGGCGUAAAGGGCUCGUAGGUGGUUGAUCGCGUCGGAAGUGUAAUCUUGGGGCUUAACCCUGAGCGUGCUUUCGAUACGGGUUGACUUGAGGAAGGUAGGGGAGAAUGGAAUUCCUGGUGGAGCGGUGGAAUGCGCAGAUAUCAGGAGGAACACCAGUGGCGAAGGCGGUUCUCUGGGCCUUUCCUGACGCCGAGGAGCGAAAGCGUGGGGAGCGAACAGGCUUAGAUACCCUGGUAGUCCACGCUGUAAACGGUGGGCACUAGGUGUGGGGUCCAUUCCACGGGUUCCGCGCCGUAGCUAACGCUUUAAGUUCCCCGCCUGGGGAGUACGG
RNAcentral lists this ribosomal RNA (643 nucleotides) under uncultured bacterium. RNAcentral's name for it is "bacterial SSU rRNA". It matches the Rfam family "Bacterial small subunit ribosomal RNA", at positions 232 to 885 of the family's 1533-position model. The record is from RNAcentral.